CUUCUACAAUGACUUGUUUUUUGUGCAGUUGUCUGGUCCUUUGAUGGUCACUGGUGGAGCCGAGUUGUUGAAGAAG
Small nucleolar RNA from Megalops cyprinoides (Indo-Pacific tarpon), 76 nucleotides. RefSeq annotates it as small nucleolar RNA SNORD66. The record is from RefSeq and is a predicted model, not a curated record. The transcript has a single exon. NCBI's taxonomy places the organism in Eukaryota, Metazoa, Chordata, Actinopteri, Elopiformes, Megalopidae.